RNAcentral lists this ribosomal RNA (539 nucleotides) under uncultured bacterium. RNAcentral describes it as "bacterial SSU rRNA". It matches the Rfam family "Bacterial small subunit ribosomal RNA", at positions 356 to 896 of the family's 1533-position model. The record is from RNAcentral.
GAGGAAUAUUGGUCAAUGGACGUAAGUCUGAACCAGCCAAGUAGCGUGCAGGAUGACGGCCCUAUGGGUUGUAAACUGCUUUUGUAUGGGGAUAAAGUCAAUCACGUGUGAUUGUUUGCAGGUACCAUACGAAUAAGGACCGGCUAAUUCCGUGCCAGCAGCCGCGGUAAUACGGAAGGUCCGGGCGUUAUCCGGAUUUAUUAGGUUUAAAGGGAGCGUAGGCCGGAGAUUAAGUGUGUUGUGAAAUGUAGACGCUCAACGUCUGACUUGCAGCGCAUACUGGUUUCCUUGAGUACGCACAACGUUGGCGGAAUUCGUCGUGUAGCGGUGAAAUGCUUAGAUAUGACGAAGAACUCCGAUUGCGAAGGCAGCUGACGGGAGCGCAACUGACGCUUAAGCUCGAAGGUGCGGGUAUCGAACAGGAUUAGAUACCCUGGUAGUCCGCACAGUAAACGAUGGAUGCCCGCUGUUGGUACCUGGUAUCAGCGGCUAAGCGAAAGCAUUAAGCAUCCCACCUGGGGAGUACGCCGGCAACGGUG